GCCAGCAGUUGCGGUUAUUCAAAUGAUAUAAUUUAAUUUUAUUAGUAAAAAUUAGUUUUAUUAUGAAUAAUUUUUAUAUAGGAUUUUUUAAGUGAAAUUUUAAAUUUUAAGGAUAAAUUUUAAUUUUAAAAUGAAGUUUAUAAGUUUAAUUAGUAAACUAGGAUUAGAUACCCUAUUAUUUUAAAUGUAAUUAAAAAUACUAAAUUAGUAUUAGUUAUGUUCUUAAAAAUUAAAAAUUUUGGCGGUAUUUUAGUCUUUUCAGAGGAACCUGUUCUGUAAAUGAUAAUCCACGAUUUAAUUUAUUUAUAUUAUUAAUUUGUAUAUCAUCGUAAUUAAGUAUUUUACUAAAAUUAUAAAUAUUUAAGAUUUUAAAUUAAAAAAUUAAUCAGAUCAAGGUGCAAUUUAUAUAUAAGUAGAAAUGGGUUACAAUAAAUAUAUUUUUGGAAAAUUUUUUUUAUUAGAGGUUUGAAUUUGGAUUUGAAAGUAAUUUUAAUAAAUUAAUUAAUUUGAUUUUGGCUC
Molecule: ribosomal RNA, 519 nt
Filed under: Galeruca pomonae
Lineage: Eukaryota; Metazoa; Arthropoda; Insecta; Coleoptera; Chrysomelidae
Description: partial 12S ribosomal RNA
Source: RNAcentral